This 405-nucleotide ribosomal RNA is filed under the name uncultured bacterium. Its description in RNAcentral is "bacterial SSU rRNA". It matches the Rfam family "Bacterial small subunit ribosomal RNA", at positions 917 to 1322 of the family's 1533-position model. The record is from RNAcentral.
GGGCCCGCACAAGCGGUGGAGCAUGUGGUUUAAUUCGAUGCAACGCGAAGAACCUUACCUACCCUUGACAUCCUCGGAAUCUGCCGGAGACGGCGGAGUGCCUUCGGGAACCGAGUGACAGGUGCUGCAUGGCUGUCGUCAGCUCGUGUUGUGAAAUGUUGGGUUAAGUCCCGUAACGAGCGCAACCCCUGUCCCUAUUUGCCAGCGAUUCGGUCGGGAACUCUAGGGAGACUGCCGGUGACAAACCGGAGGAAGGUGGGGACGACGUCAAGUCAUCAUGGCCCUUACGGGUAGGGCUACACACGUGCUACAAUGGCAGGUACAAAGGGUUGCAAGACGGCGACGUGGAGCUAAUCCCAUAAAGCCUGCCUCAGUCCGGAUCGGAGUCUGCAACUCGACUCCGUG